UACGUAGGGUGCGAGCGUUGUCCGGAAUUACUGGGCGUAAAGAGCUCGUAGGUGGUUUGUCGCGUUGUCCGUGAAAACUCACAACUCAAUUGUGGGCGUGCGGGCGAUACGGGCAGACUGGAGUACUGCAGGGGAGACUGGAAUUCCUGGUGUAGCGGUGGAAUGCGCAGAUAUCAGGAGGAACACCGGUGGCGAAGGCGGGGUCUCUGGGCAGUAACUGACGCUGAGGAGCGAAAAGCGUGGGGAGCGAACAGG
This 255-nucleotide ribosomal RNA is filed under the name uncultured bacterium. RNAcentral describes it as "partial 16S ribosomal RNA". It matches the Rfam family "Bacterial small subunit ribosomal RNA", at positions 524 to 776 of the family's 1533-position model. The record is from RNAcentral.